AGAGAGAGAGAGAGCAAUUUGUUAAAAGUUCAUGAAGAUCGAGAGAGAGAGAGACCCAGUUGUUAAAAUCUCAUGAAGAUCUAAUCAAACCAGGAUAUCAUAUGAAAUCUAACAAAAGAAGAACAAAAACCCAUGUCACAACACACAUACAUGAAAAAUCAAUAAUUCCUCUGUCAAAAAUCAUGCAAGGUAAAAAAAAAAAAAAGACCCAUCUGCCAAAAUAUCAUCAAAAGCAAACAAACACCAGAUACCAAAAUCAUAAAAAAAUCACUUUCAAACCCUUUUUCCUCAAUCACUUUCUUUAAAA
Long non-coding RNA from Magnolia sinica, 307 nucleotides. RefSeq lists it as uncharacterized. Lineage: Eukaryota; Viridiplantae; Streptophyta; Magnoliopsida; Magnoliales; Magnoliaceae. The record is from RefSeq and is a predicted model, not a curated record. The transcript is spliced from 2 exons.